This 460-nucleotide ribosomal RNA is filed under the name uncultured bacterium. RNAcentral's name for it is "partial 16S ribosomal RNA". It matches the Rfam family "Bacterial small subunit ribosomal RNA", at positions 338 to 795 of the family's 1533-position model. The record is from RNAcentral.
CCUACGGGAGGCAGCAGUGAGGAAUAUUGGUCAAUGGGCGCGAGCCUGAACCAGCCAAGUCGCGUGAGGGAUGACGGCCCUACGGGUUGUAAACCUCUUUUGCCGGGGAGCAACGCGCGCCACGUGUGGCGCCACUGAGAGUACCCGGAGAAAAAGCAUCGGCUAACUCCGUGCCAGCAGCCGCGGUAAUACGGAGGAUGCGAGCGUUAUCCGGAUUUAUUGGGUUUAAAGGGUGCGUAGGCGGAUCGUUAAGUCAGCGGUCAAAUGUCGGGGCUCAACCCGUGCCGGCCAUUGAAACUGGGGAUCUUGAGUGGAAGAGAAGUAUGCGGAAUGCGUGGUGUAGCGGUGAAAUGCAUAGAUAUCACGCAGAACCCCGAUUGCGAAGGCAGCAUGCCGGCUUCCGACUGACGCUGAGGCACGAAAGCGUGGGGAUCGAACAGGAUUAGAUACCCUGGUAGUC